Eptesicus fuscus (big brown bat) is the source of this 1064-nucleotide long non-coding RNA. RefSeq lists it as uncharacterized. The record is from RefSeq and is a predicted model, not a curated record. Lineage: Eukaryota; Metazoa; Chordata; Mammalia; Chiroptera; Vespertilionidae. The transcript has 4 exons.
CACUUUAGUCCCCUGGACAAUCUCUGGCUUAAUGUGGAAUCUCAGAACUUGGAGAGUGAUAAAAUUAGAAUCUAACUGAGGCGAUUUCUGACCAAAGCUUUGAAGAAGUAGCUCGGUUCCUCCUGGAUGCUAUGGUAAAAUUCAAAAAGGGAAACAUGAAUUGAAGAUAGAACUGAUAUCCAAAAAACAACCAGACUUCAAAGAUUUGGAAAACCCUCCCAUAUUACAAAAAAUGAGAAAGCAUGUUUGGAAGAGAACAGUAAGGAUGUGAUGGAUCUAUUACAUUAGUGCUGGUGUGAACUGGGGACCUAAUCAGCCAUCCCAGCAGGGACACUGCCAGUUUCCAUGGAAGGGGAUGAAAGGCUGGUGCCCUUCUUGGAUUUCACAGGACAUCACCACCGAGUUAUUUGACUAUGAACCUACCCUAUUCUUCAAGACAAGAGAUGAAUGACCCAAAAGGCAAUUCAGAGAUUGUCAGGGCUGCCUCCACUGUUUCAAAAGGGGAAGGCAUCACCUUGAUUUCAACUGGCCAGAGGGCUGCCUGGGGCAUUGGAGUGGGACCUUCACCUGACAGAGCUGUGGCUGCAGGCCCUCCAACCCAGUGUGUCUAGAAGACAGAGCAUUGAGCCAAUGAGGAGUAUUCUCAAGCCCUAAGAUUUCAUGAAGUUUGCUUUGCCAGAGACCAGAGUCUACUUCGUAAGGACACAAGGAGGGGGCUUCCUGUCUGCAAACCAGGAAGUGGUCUUUCCCUAGACACUGCAUCUGCUGGCACCUCAAUCUUGGAUUUCCCAGCCUCCAGAACUAUUACAUGCACUGUAAAGCUGGAUCGCGUUCUCCUGGCCGCUUCACAGAGGACGUUCUGUGUCCAAGGGGCUUGUGAAGGAGGAAAAACAAAACAGCUUGUGAACUCACCUCUCUUUCUGCAGAGCAGCUGGGCCUGGGUUCCAGGUCCACAGAGACAAUUUAUCGAUGCUUAAUCCCAAAUCUUGUCUGCUGUUCCCAUUGCUACAGACUGCUGUUAAGAUAUUGAGAGCCCCAUUAAUGUCUGGGUGAAAGUCAACCGG